CCUACGGGGGGCUGCAGUGGGGAAUAUUGGACAAUGGGGGCAACCCUGAUCCAGCCAUGCCGCGUGUGUGAAGAAGGCCCUCGGGUUGUAAAGCACUUUCAGUGAGGAAGAACGCCUGGUGGUUAAUACCCAUCAGGAAAGACAUCACUCACAGAAGAAGCACCGGCUAACUCCGUGCCAGCAGCCGCGGUAAUACGGAGGGUGCGAGCGUUAAUCGGAAUUACUGGGCGUAAAGCGCGCGUAGGUGGCUUGAUAAGCCGGUUGUGAAAGCCCCGGGCUCAACCUGGGAACGGCAUCCGGAACUGUCAAGCUAGAGUGCAGGAGAGGAAGGUAGAAUUCCCGGUGUAGCGGUGAAAUGCGUAGAGAUCGGGAGGAAUACCAGUGGCGAAGGCGGCCUUCUGGACUGACACUGACACUGAGGUGCGAAAGCGUGGGUAGCAAACAGGAUUAGAUACCCCAGAAGUC
This 465-nucleotide ribosomal RNA is filed under the name Vreelandella stevensii. RNAcentral describes it as "partial 16S ribosomal RNA". It matches the Rfam family "Bacterial small subunit ribosomal RNA", at positions 338 to 795 of the family's 1533-position model. The record is from RNAcentral. Lineage: Bacteria; Pseudomonadati; Pseudomonadota; Gammaproteobacteria; Oceanospirillales; Halomonadaceae.